AUUGAACGCUGGCGGCAUGCUUUACACAUGCAAGUCGAACGGUAACAGGCCUUCGGUGGCUGACGAGCGUUGAACGGGGGCGGAAUGCAUCGGAACGGACCCCGAGGUUGUGGAUAAGGCAGCGAAUGCUGUGCUCAUACCUCAUGCGAUCUGAGAAUGAAAACGGGAGACCUCGCAGCAAUGUUUGGCCUCGCGCCUUUGUAACGGCCGAUGUCGGAUUAGCUAGUUGGUGGGGUAAAGGCCUACCAAGGCGACGAUCCGUAGCUGGUCUGAGAGGACGAUCGGCCACACUGGGACUGAGACACGGCCCAGACUCCUACGGGAGGCAGCAGUGGGGAAUUUUCGGCAAUGGGCGAAAGCCUGAUGCAGCAAUGCCGCGUGAGGGAAGAAGGCCUUCGGGUUGUAAAACGCUUUUGGUAGGAAAGAACCGAUGUGCACGAAAACCUGCAGGUAAUGACGGUACCUGCAGAGAAAGCCACGGCUAACUACGUG
Molecule: ribosomal RNA, 492 nt
Filed under: uncultured bacterium
Lineage: Bacteria
Description: partial 16S ribosomal RNA
Rfam family: Bacterial small subunit ribosomal RNA
Source: RNAcentral